RNAcentral lists this long non-coding RNA (409 nucleotides) under Pan troglodytes (chimpanzee). RNAcentral describes it as "long non-coding RNA NONPTRT015121". Lineage: Eukaryota; Metazoa; Chordata; Mammalia; Primates; Hominidae. The record is from RNAcentral.
ACAACGAUCCCAAACUGCCUGCGCUUGUCUCCUCUGUGCCCUCCACGUCCUUUCUGCUCCCACGGCCCAGGCCCCAGUGCAUGCCAUCACGCCUGACUAAUUUUACCUUUUGUAGAGAUGAGGUCCCUCUGUGUUGCCAAAGGUGGUCUAGAACUCCUGGGCUCAAAUGAUCCUCCCCCAUCCCUGGGCCUCCCAAAGUACUGGGAUUACAGGUGUAAGCCAAUGCACUCAGCCCCAUGUUACUUAAUAGAAAGGUUUUUCUUCCCCUUUUUCCUGCAACCUUUGCUGCUCUCACAGGGGAUUUCUAGCAUCCCUAAGCUCUGGUCUCCAGUCUGAGGAAGUUGUGCUGCCUGUAUGUGACAAGAGAAAUAAGAUGUUGGCACAUGAAUAGGAUGUUCGCCCUUUGGUG